Molecule: ribosomal RNA, 497 nt
Filed under: uncultured bacterium
Lineage: Bacteria
Description: partial 16S ribosomal RNA
Rfam family: Bacterial small subunit ribosomal RNA
Source: RNAcentral
GAUGAACGCUGGCGGCGUGCCUAAUACAUGCAAGUCGAGCGAACGGACGAGAAGCUUGUUUCUCUGAUGUUAGCGGCGGACGGGCGAGUAACACGUGGAUAACCUACCUAUAAGACUGGGAUAACUUCGGGAAACCGGAGCUAAUACCGGAUAAUAUUUUGAACCGCAUGGUUCAAAAGUGAAAGACGGUCUUGCUGUCACUUAUAGAUGGAUCCGCGCUGCAUUGGCUAGUUGGUAAGGUAACGGCUUACCAAGGCAACGAUGCAUAGCCGACCUGAGAGGGUGAUCGGCCACACUGGAACGGAGACACGGUCCAGACUCCUACGGGAGGCAGCAGUAGGGAAUCUUCCGCAAUGGGCGAAAGCCUGACGGAGCAACGCCGCGUGAGUGAUGAAGGUCUUCGGAUCGUAAAACUCUGUUAUUAGGGAAGAACAUAUGUGUAAGUAACUGUGCACAUCUUGACGGUACCUAAUCAGAAAGCCACGGCUAACUACGUG